AACGCUAAAACCUAUCAAUCUCACUUGGAACUCAACUUUAACCCCUCCAACAUCGCUGGAGUGUUGAAUGGAUUUUGUCCAACCAUCUCUCUCACCACGUUUUGGUCAAUUUGACUAAAGUUCGAUAUAACCUACCGAGAUUCGAUAUAUUACAAAGUUGUCCUUCAUCCUCACCAUCAUUUAAUAUAUUUAAUACAAACUUUCAAUCUAUUAACUUAUAUGAAUUCCUAAUGUUUUUUGUUACGUGGCAAGUUGUCCGUCACGCUCACCAUCAUUUAAUAUAUUUAAUACAAACUUUCAAUUAAUAUAUUUAAUUAAUACAUCUAAACAUUUCCAUUAUCAAACUUUUAAUGGCAAGUUGUUCUUCACCCUCACCAGCAUUUGACCAUUCCCUUUCCCUUCAUCAAACUUUCAAAUAAUACAUUUAAUUAAUACAUCUAAACAUUCGCACCACCAAACUUUUCCUCCACCAAAUUUUUUAUCUCUAAUUAAUUCAUCAAUUCUCUCUCCCUCAUCUUUUCCCAUACACCGUCACUUCCUUCCCUCCUCUCAUUAAUGUCUGCCCAUCUCCCCCCUCCGUUACGGACGAAGGAAUCGUCGUCUUUUUUACUAUCACCGUU
This 620-nucleotide long non-coding RNA is filed under the name Ananas comosus (pineapple). Its description in RNAcentral is "long non-coding RNA (ACOM_LNC012264)". The record is from RNAcentral. Lineage: Eukaryota; Viridiplantae; Streptophyta; Magnoliopsida; Poales; Bromeliaceae.